UACGAAGGGGCUAGCGUUGCUCGGAAUUACUGGGCGUAAAGCGCACGUAGGCGGCUUCUUAAGUCGGUGGUGAAAUCCUGGAGCUCAACUCCAGAACUGCCUUCGAUACUGGGAGCUCGAGUCCGGGAGAGGUGAGUGGAACUGCGAGUGUAGAGGUGAAAUUCGUAGAUAUUCGACAAGAACACCAGUGGCGAAGGCGGCUCACUGGCCCGGUACUGACGCUGAGGUGCGAAAGCGUGGGGAGCAAACAGG
RNAcentral lists this ribosomal RNA (252 nucleotides) under uncultured bacterium. RNAcentral's name for it is "partial 16S ribosomal RNA". It matches the Rfam family "Bacterial small subunit ribosomal RNA", at positions 524 to 776 of the family's 1533-position model. The record is from RNAcentral.